CAGCCGCCGCGGUAACACGUAGGUGGCAAGCGUUGUCCGGAAUUAUUGGGCGUAAAGGGCUCGCAGGCGGUUUCUUAAGUCUGAUGUGAAAGCCCCCGGCUCAACCGGGGAGGGUCAUUGGAAACUGGGAAACUUGAGUGCAGAAGAGGAGAGUGGAAUUCCACGUGUAGCGGUGAAAUGCGUAGAGAUGUGGAGGAACACCAGUGGCGAAGGCGACUCUCUGGUCUGUAACUGACGCUGAGGAGCGAAAGCGUGGGGAGCGAACAGGAUUAGAUACCCCUGUAGUCCCUGUCUCUUAUAU
RNAcentral lists this ribosomal RNA (301 nucleotides) under uncultured bacterium. RNAcentral describes it as "partial 16S ribosomal RNA". It matches the Rfam family "Bacterial small subunit ribosomal RNA", at positions 509 to 809 of the family's 1533-position model. The record is from RNAcentral.